Molecule: small nuclear RNA, 102 nt
Organism: Monodelphis domestica (gray short-tailed opossum)
Lineage: Eukaryota; Metazoa; Chordata; Mammalia; Didelphimorphia; Didelphidae
Source: Ensembl
UUGCUUUAGCAGUACAUAUACUAAAAUUGGAAUGAAACACGGAAGAUCAGCAUGGCCCUGUGCAAGGAAGGCAUGCAAAUAUUCCAUAUUAAAAAAAAGAUC